CGCUUAGCCAGGGCCGGCCCCGCGCGCGCUGCCGUUACCGCCUCGCGCCCCCCCUCCCUUUAUGGCCGCCCCUCACCCGCCCCCCUCACGCCCUUUCCCCUCACGGCCUCGGCCAUGGCCGGGCCCUCCCGGAGAACGGCAGCGGCGCCGGGAAGAGGAGGAAGAGGAGGAGGAGGAGCCGCACGGAUUGAAGAGCUCGAGCUCCAAGAGACGCAAUAAGCGAUUGUGCUUUGAGUCUUGGCAGCGCCAAAUCCGUGAGCAGAGGCUGGUGCAAACAGCAGAGUGCAGGGCUACACCUCUUUAACUCCUCUCAGGUUAUGUUAAUUGUGGAUCGCACCAUCUCAUCAAGAAAGAGGGCCUGAGCUCAGGACCUGCGUUUUCCUGUGACCUUGGGAAAGCAGUUCCCUUUACACAGCUGUGUUUUGACUGUUGUUAAAAUGGAAAUAAAGAUACCUUUUCUCUUUUCAA
This is a long non-coding RNA of Melospiza melodia melodia, 468 nucleotides long. RefSeq lists it as uncharacterized. The record is from RefSeq and is a predicted model, not a curated record. NCBI's taxonomy places the organism in Eukaryota, Metazoa, Chordata, Aves, Passeriformes, Passerellidae. The transcript is spliced from 3 exons.